RNAcentral lists this ribosomal RNA (465 nucleotides) under uncultured bacterium. Its description in RNAcentral is "partial 16S ribosomal RNA". It matches the Rfam family "Bacterial small subunit ribosomal RNA", at positions 28 to 507 of the family's 1533-position model. The record is from RNAcentral.
GACGAACGCUGGCGGCGUGCUUAACACAUGCGAGUCGAACGGAAAGGCCCUGCUUGCAGGGUACUCGAGUGGCGAACGGGUGAGUAACACGUGGGUGAUCUGCCCUGCACUUCGGGAUAAGCCUGGGAAACUGGGUCUAAUACCGGAUAGGAGCCAUUUUUAGUGUGAUGGUUGGAAAGUUUUUUCGGUGUAGGAUGAGCUCGCGGCCUAUCAGCUUGUUGGUGGGGUAAUGGCCUACCAAGGCGGCGACGGGUAGCCGGCCUGAGAGGGUGGACGGCCACAUUGGGACUGAGAUACGGCCCAGACUCCUACGGGAGGCAGCAGGGGGGAAUAUUGCACAAUGGGCGCAAGCCGGAUGCAGCGACGCCGCGUGGGGGAUGACGGCCUUCGGGUUGUAAACUCCUUUCGCUAGGGACGAAGCUUUUUGUGACGGUACCUAGAUAAGAAGCACCGGCUAACUACGUG